GAUGAACGCUGGCGGCGUGCCUAAUACAUGCAAGUCGAGCGAACAGACGAGGAUCUUGCUCCUCUGACGUUAGCGGCGGACGGGUGAGUAACACGUGGAUAACCUACCUAUAAGACUUGGAUAACUUCGGGAAACCGGAGCUAAUACCGGGAAAUAUAUUUAACCGCAUGGUGCAAGAGUGAAAGACGGUUUUGCUGUCACUUAUAGAUGGAUCCGCUCGUCAUUAGCUAGUUGGUAAGGUAACGGCUUACCAAGGCAACGAUGCGUAGCCGACCUGAGAGCGUGAUCGGCCACACUGGAACUGAGACGCGGUCCAGACUCCUACGGGAGGCAGCAGUAGGGAAUCUUCCGAAAUGGGCGAAAGCUUGACGGAGCAACGCCGCGUGAGUGAUGAAGGUCUUCGGAUCGUAAAACUCUGUUAUUAGGGAAGAACAAAUGUGUACGUAACUAUGCACGUCUUGACGGUACCUAAUCAGAAAGCCACGGCUAACUACGUG
This 497-nucleotide ribosomal RNA is filed under the name uncultured bacterium. RNAcentral describes it as "partial 16S ribosomal RNA". It matches the Rfam family "Bacterial small subunit ribosomal RNA", at positions 28 to 507 of the family's 1533-position model. The record is from RNAcentral.